RNAcentral lists this ribosomal RNA (464 nucleotides) under uncultured bacterium. Its description in RNAcentral is "bacterial SSU rRNA". It matches the Rfam family "Bacterial small subunit ribosomal RNA", at positions 331 to 792 of the family's 1533-position model. The record is from RNAcentral.
CCAGACUCCUACGGGAGGCAGCAGUGAGGAAUAUUGGUAAAUGGGCGAGAGCCUGAACCAGCCAAGUCGCGUGAAGGAUGACGGCCCUACGGGUUGUAAACCUCUUUUGUCAGGGAGCAACGCCGGCUACGUGUAGCCGGACUGAGAGUACCUGAAGAAAAAGCAUCGGCUAACUCCGUGCCAGCAGCCGCGGUAAUACGGAGGAUGCGAGCGUUAUCCGGAUUUAUUGGGUUUAAAGGGUGCGCAGGCGGAUUUUUAAGUCAGCGGUCAAAUCGUGGGGCUCAACCCCAUCCAGCCGUUGAAACUGGGGAUCUAGAGUGUGCGAGAGGUGUGCGGACUGCGUGGUGUAGCGGUGAAAUGCAUAGAUAUCACGCAGAACCCCGAUUGCGAAGGCAGCAUACCGGUGCACAACUGACGCUCAGUCACGAAAGCGUGGGUAUCGAACAGGAUUAGAUACCCUGGUA